CGUAGCUCAGUUGGUAGAGCAACUGACUUUUAAUCAGUAGGUCCAGGGUUCGAAUCCCUGCG
Molecule: transfer RNA, 62 nt
Filed under: uncultured Euryhalocaulis sp.
Lineage: Bacteria; Pseudomonadati; Pseudomonadota; Alphaproteobacteria; Maricaulales; Maricaulaceae
Also listed under: 1 other name
Rfam family: tRNA
About the family: Transfer RNA (tRNA) molecules are approximately 80 nucleotides in length. Their secondary structure includes four short double-helical elements and three loops (D, anti-codon, and T loops). Further hydrogen bonds mediate the characteristic L-shaped molecular structure. tRNAs have two regions of fundamental functional importance: the anti-codon, which is responsible for specific mRNA codon recognition, and the 3' end, to which the tRNAs corresponding amino acid is attached (by aminoacyl-tRNA synthetases). tRNAs cope with the degeneracy of the genetic code in two manners: having more than one tRNA (with a specific anti-codon) for a particular amino acid; and 'wobble' base-pairing, i.e. permitting non-standard base-pairing at the 3rd anti-codon position.
Source: RNAcentral